GCCGAAAUAGCUCAGUUGGGAGAGCGUAGCGUUAGACUGAAGAUCUAAAGGUCCCUGGUUCGAUCCCGGGUUUCGGCA
Molecule: non-coding RNA, 78 nt
Organism: Bombina bombina (fire-bellied toad)
Lineage: Eukaryota; Metazoa; Chordata; Amphibia; Anura; Bombinatoridae
Source: the annotation of a RefSeq genome assembly